Molecule: ribosomal RNA, 125 nt
Filed under: Dissophora decumbens
Lineage: Eukaryota; Fungi; Mortierellomycota; Mortierellomycetes; Mortierellales; Mortierellaceae
Description: partial small subunit ribosomal RNA
Rfam family: Eukaryotic small subunit ribosomal RNA
Source: RNAcentral
CCUUUGUACACACCGCCCGUCGCUACUACCGAUUGAAUGGCUUAGUGAGGCUUUCGGAUUGGACUUUGGCAGCUGGCAACAGCAGCUAAGGUCUGAAAAGUUAUCCAAACUUGGUCAUUUAGAGG